GAAAGCCGUAUUCGAUGAAAGUCGUAUGUACGGCUUGGAGGGAAGUCUUCUCCAUAUCUUUCGAGAUCCACCCUAC
Molecule: non-coding RNA, 76 nt
Organism: Helianthus annuus (common sunflower)
Lineage: Eukaryota; Viridiplantae; Streptophyta; Magnoliopsida; Asterales; Asteraceae
Source: Rfam